AGAUGGCGACCGGCGCACGGGUGAGUAACACGUAUCCAACCUGCCGAUAACUCGGGGAUAGCCUUUCGAAAGAAAGAUUAAUACCCGAUGGUAUAAUCAGACCGCAUGGUUUGAUUAUUAAAGAAUUUCGGUUAUCGAUGGGGAUGCGUUCCAUUAGGCAGUUGGUGAGGUAACGGCUCACCAAACCUUCGAUGGAUAGGGGUUCUGAGAGGAAGGUCCCCCACACUGGAACUGAGACACGGUCCAA
RNAcentral lists this ribosomal RNA (247 nucleotides) under uncultured bacterium. Its description in RNAcentral is "partial 16S ribosomal RNA". It matches the Rfam family "Bacterial small subunit ribosomal RNA", at positions 86 to 334 of the family's 1533-position model. The record is from RNAcentral.